RNAcentral lists this ribosomal RNA (447 nucleotides) under uncultured bacterium. RNAcentral's name for it is "bacterial SSU rRNA". It matches the Rfam family "Bacterial small subunit ribosomal RNA", at positions 355 to 825 of the family's 1533-position model. The record is from RNAcentral.
UGGGGAAUAUUGGACAAUGGGGGAAACCCUGAUCCAGCCAUGCCGCGUGCGUGAAGAAGGCCUUAGGGUUGUAAAGCGCUUUCGGCGGGGAAGAUGAUGACGGUACCCGCAGAAGAAGCCCCGGCUAACUCCGUGCCAGCAGCCGCGGUAAUACGGAGGGGGCUAGCGUUGUUCGGAAUUACUGGGCGUAAAGGGCGCGUAGGCGGGCGAUCAAGUCAGAGGUGAAAGGCCUGGGCCCAACCUGGGAAUUGCCUUUGAAACUGAUUGUCUAGAGUCCGGAAGAGGAUGGCGGAAUUCCCAGUGUAGAGGUGAAAUUCGUAGAUAUUGGGAAGAACACCAGUGGCGAAGGCGGCCAUCUGGUCCGGUACUGACGCUGAGGCGCGAAAGCGUGGGGAGCAAACAGGAUUAGAUACCCCCGUAGUCCCUGAGCGGGCUGGCAAGGCGCAU